AUGACGCCAACAGAAUCUCCAGUGAUCUUUCUGUAAAGGACUUGGAAAAAUUGGUUCGAAGAAUUUCUCGAUUAGGCAAGAAGGAUCCUAUUCCCUCCUCCUGUCGAGUGGAACCAUACAGUGCUUCCAAUCCUCUUCCCGAGAAUCAUCCUACUAUGGCUUCCCUUCCUCCUCUUCCCGAGGAUGGAGAGGUCGAAGAAAGAGCCGUUGUCGAUGAUGUCAACCGGGAGACCCCCUCUUUUGUGAAUGAACCCGCAGAUUCUCGAAAAUCUGCGGGAUCUACUGAGAAGGAUGCUGCCUCUGAAGAUACAACAUCAGCGCAAUCUCCUCCUCCUGCUGUUUCUCCGAAGAGCAAAAGGAAAAGGAGCAAUGCCGAAGAUUCCGGGACCUCGAAACCCGAAGAAACUGCUCCUGCACCUCGAAAAGCAGCUUAUGAUCCAUACAUCGAGAGUAUCAUCAGCUCUGAUGAUGAAGAAACACCAACUUUAGAUGUGGCUGCUCGAACGAGCACGUCACAUACUUUAGUUAUUUCAGAAAAACCAGUUGAAGGGGGA
This is a non-coding RNA of Lolium perenne, 554 nucleotides long. Lineage: Eukaryota; Viridiplantae; Streptophyta; Magnoliopsida; Poales; Poaceae. The record is from RefSeq and is a predicted model, not a curated record.